AGGGAAUUAGCUGAGUGGUUUUAGCAUCAAUUUUACACAUUGGAGACAGAGUUUCGAUUACUCUAUUCCCUA
RNAcentral lists this transfer RNA (72 nucleotides) under Lentinula edodes (shiitake mushroom). It matches the Rfam family "tRNA". Rfam says of the family: Transfer RNA (tRNA) molecules are approximately 80 nucleotides in length. Their secondary structure includes four short double-helical elements and three loops (D, anti-codon, and T loops). The record is from Rfam by way of RNAcentral. Lineage: Eukaryota; Fungi; Basidiomycota; Agaricomycetes; Agaricales; Omphalotaceae.